RNAcentral lists this long non-coding RNA (1883 nucleotides) under Cricetulus griseus (Chinese hamster). RNAcentral's name for it is "lncRNA (ENSCGRG00015038992.1)". The record is from RNAcentral. Lineage: Eukaryota; Metazoa; Chordata; Mammalia; Rodentia; Cricetidae.
UUCAUUUCUUGCAUCUCUUUAUUUUAAGGAUUAAAAAAUUUAUUUUCUUCCUUAGGAAAUCCCAGUUUACAAAAAUUAACUUGAAGCCAAGGUAAUUUGGGAUCAUAAAAACUGGGCCAGAUGCCUUACUGAUCGUCCUUAACAUAGAACUGUCUUGUUGUGCAGAUGGGCUCAUUUGGAAAUUUUUAACAGCCCACGCCAGGGUCACUUGUGAUAAUCAGGGACACCUUCACAUCUGAACAUGAACAGUCUCAAGCUAGGCAUACCUCUGCAGGGAUUUGCACCUUUUAUAUCCCUUAAGAUGAAUAUUCUGAUUUUCCUUCGAUGUUGACAGAUCUCAUUUUAUGAGGAUGGCUUUUUUUUUUUUACUUGUUUUACUCUAAAGGCCAGGUAUUUGAAAACUGUAUGACUCCUUGUUUCUAGAUCAAUUUUUCCAUAUUACCAUCUUGUUCCUAUCCUUUCUAUUUGCUGGAUAUAUCACCAAGUAACAACAUUUUCUGUAUAUAUUCAUAAUUCCCUUGUCCUGUAACUUGAUUACAGGAUAUUCUGUUGUGAAUUAGCAGUUAAAAGUGUUUAAAUAUGUUUGUAAUUACAGUUUGUGUUAAUUAUAGAAUAAUUCCUUCUUUUCUCUGAGUGUAUUGAUUUGGAAUGUAAAGUGUAUGAUAAAUCACAAAACUGAGUGAGACAUUCUGGAUAAAGCUGAUUACAACAAAGCAUCUCAGUCAAGGGUUCACCUUACCACAAUUCUCUUUUUUAUAGCAACCUGUGCAGAUAAUCAUUGCUGAGUAAACAUGCUGUCUUUGUGCCUAGAAAUGAGUGUCUGAUGGGAAUAACUUUUCUACAUGCCCAGGGAAACUGACAUUUUUGUCCCUUAUCACUUGGAAUAAACACAGCAUGGUAGAAGGUUCCAUAAGUGGAAACAGAGGAAGCAUUCUACCUCAAGUCUCUUAAAAAGUCAAUGGUGCCAUCAUGGACACCCUAUCAUCAUGAUCUCAUUUUAUCUCCCGAAGAUCCCACCAUCAAUACCAUUAACAUGAACUCUUUUCAACACAUGAAAAUUUGGGGUGUACAUUUAAACCACAGUUGAGUAGAAGCUCUAUUCCAAGUAUAAGAAUGAGAUGCUAAUUUAUUCUUCUUCAACUUACUCAUGGGGAGGAAAUUCACACAAUAUUGGCCUUGCUCCAGUGCAGUUCAGUAUUGCAGAAUUUCUGGUCAAGGGGAAAUGCAUGUGGGAGCAAAGAACCUGUGGGAAUUGAUUUCAUUUGAAAGAUGGAGUGACUUCAAUCAAGUUGAGGAUUUCAAGCGAGAUCUUCAAUCAAGUGAAUCCCAUCUAACAUGGACUGGAUACAAUUCAUUCAAGACUUUCACUAUACUAACAUUUUCUUCCUACAGGACCCCACAUGACUAUCAUCAUCCCAUUUCAGCAGGAAGUAACUUGGAGGAUGCUACGCCCCCUUUCCCCAUUGUUGUCACUUAGGAUAGUGUAUAUACCUAGUUAGGGAUAGCUUCCUAUUGUUUUUGGUUGGGAUUGGAACGAGGUGUUCAGGCUUGGAUACCUCUGUCAGAUGACUUUAGGGUUUAGUUAAAAUAGAUAGUUAGGAUGUGACAUAAGCAGAUUGUUGUAUCUUCUUAUAUUUUACCUUUAUGAUUGUUCAUUUUGGAUACUUUAAACUGUUAAAUUUUAAUCCUCUUUUAGACUAAAAGGGGAAUUGUAGGGGAAGCUGUAGCCACGCCUACUUAUGGGCUGGCUACAGGUGUGCCUGACCAUGCUUGUGAGGGUGUGGUCAGAGUGACGUAGUGUGACUGCGUUUGCGCUUUCGGUUUCACUUUGCUUCUUGCUGUACAGACUGCUGCCACGCCGGCUGGCUAGGUCGCUCUGUAAG